Molecule: transfer RNA, 76 nt
Filed under: Candidatus Methanomethylophilaceae archaeon
Lineage: Archaea; Methanobacteriati; Thermoplasmatota; Thermoplasmata; Methanomassiliicoccales; Methanomethylophilaceae
Also listed under: 1 other name
Description: tRNA-Val
Rfam family: tRNA
About the family: Transfer RNA (tRNA) molecules are approximately 80 nucleotides in length. Their secondary structure includes four short double-helical elements and three loops (D, anti-codon, and T loops). Further hydrogen bonds mediate the characteristic L-shaped molecular structure. tRNAs have two regions of fundamental functional importance: the anti-codon, which is responsible for specific mRNA codon recognition, and the 3' end, to which the tRNAs corresponding amino acid is attached (by aminoacyl-tRNA synthetases). tRNAs cope with the degeneracy of the genetic code in two manners: having more than one tRNA (with a specific anti-codon) for a particular amino acid; and 'wobble' base-pairing, i.e. permitting non-standard base-pairing at the 3rd anti-codon position.
Source: RNAcentral
GGACUCGUGGUCUAGGGGUUAUGACGGCGCCCUUACAAGGCGCAGGUCGCCGGUUCAAAUCCGGCCGGGUCCACCA